This 443-nucleotide ribosomal RNA is filed under the name uncultured bacterium. Its description in RNAcentral is "partial 16S ribosomal RNA". It matches the Rfam family "Bacterial small subunit ribosomal RNA", at positions 338 to 795 of the family's 1533-position model. The record is from RNAcentral.
CCUACGGGUGGCAGCAGUGGGGAAUAUUGCACAAUGGGGGGAACCCUGAUGCAGCGACGCCGCGUGAGUGAAGAAGUAUUUCGGUAUGUAAAGCUCUAUCAGCAGGGAAGAAAGAAAUGACGGUACCUGACUACGAAGCCCCGGCUAACUACGGGCCGGCAGCCGCGGUAAUACGUAGGGGGCACGCGUUAUCCGGUUUUACUGGGGGUAAAGGGAGCGUAGACGGCGAUGCAAGUCUGAAGUGAAAGGCGGGGGCGCAACCCCCGGACUGCUUUGGAAACUGUAGGGCAGGAGUGCAGGAGAGGGAGGUGGAAUUCCUAGUGUAGCGGUGAAAUGCGUAGAUAUUAGGAGGAACACCAGUGGCGAAGGCGGCUUACUGGACUGUAACUGACGUUGAGGCUCGAAAGCGUGGGGAGCAAACAGGAUUAGAUACCCUGGUAGUC